This is a long non-coding RNA of Astyanax mexicanus (Mexican tetra), 2436 nucleotides long. RefSeq lists it as uncharacterized. The record is from RefSeq and is a predicted model, not a curated record. The transcript has 4 exons. NCBI's taxonomy places the organism in Eukaryota, Metazoa, Chordata, Actinopteri, Characiformes, Acestrorhamphidae.
UGGUAUAGCUUUAAAUAAGAAACUUGAGGCAGUUUACAUGGUUUUAAUGCCCCCUAGUGGCUUAGUUAGUAACAGCAUAGCCUCAAUUCAAACUUGUUUAGUUGUUAACUGACCAUCCAGCAGUGCAGUCAGUCAUUGUUUUCUCCCGGUGAAAUCUUGGCCCACAUAUGCCUUGUUGAGUCAUCUUCUCACAGAGGACGGAUGGACAGAAAUUUGUUUUAUAUGAACCUGGAGCACAUGAUUUACAUCUUCUAAAUGACAGUGAGCAAAGGGGAAAGCAGAGGAGCUCUCCUUUCAGCCUCUGAAUGAAUGAAAAACAGCAGGCUUGGAUUAUCUUGGCCGCCAUCAGCGGCGGGACAGAAGAGCAAGAGAGGGAGUUGAGGCUGAGGCCAAGACCUUGUAUCUCCAAAUUGGUACCAUUACAGAAGAAGGAAAAUAAGGUUUGGACGUAGAACCGUGACUGAAGUUCCUCCUCCUUCCAGUCUAACAUUUGAUAAAUGUCCAUAUCAUACCUAACUUUCUGUUUCCCAUGAUAAUUUUUUUUAUCUUCUCUUUUGCUCACAGCAGUAGCCAACUCAAAGUUCUUCCCAUUUCUCCAAUCACUCCCUUCUUAUACUACAACCAUUUGUUGAAGGCAUGCUCAAUAUUCUACAAUGGAUUACAAAUAAAGGAUUUCAAUUAGUUUCACUGUGAAAUCUAAUAAGCUGAUUUUACUUUAAAAAAGAAUGCAAACAGAUUGCCUAAAAAUUUUUAGUUGACAUUAGUUGAAUGAAUCAAACUAAAAAUUAAAUAUAGUUGCUUGUAUUUAAUACUUUGAAUAAGGACCAGCUACUUUCAUAGAUUUUUAAUAACUGAAACAUUAACAGACACCCCCUUUUUUAACAGCAUAAUUCAGCAUAAAACAGCAUUAGUGCAUGAUUGGGCACUGUGGCCUUUAGCCAACAUAAAGUCACUUAUGGCAGCACAGAAAGUGUUAACUUGCUCUAAUAGCCUACAACACUGAGACCAGGCAGGCAAACAUUACAUAAGAAAAAACAUGGGUAUAAAGCACAGGAGAUCGAUUUUGUUACUGUAUUAAGUAAUCCCUUGAGUUUUCUUCACUGAAAGUUUCUUUAUAGUGUUUUGAACUGAGGGUGCUCACUCAUCUCUCGAGGGCCUUGACAAGAGCAUGUGAUGAUUUAUCUGACCACAGAAAAGUCCAUCCAGUUCAUUAGCAACCUUUAAACCGUCAUCACCAAGAGACCCUCAAGCCACUAGACUGGUCAGUCUCGGGGGAAAUCUUCCCGACAUCCCGAAGGAAACAGCAUGGCUCUCUGUAAACACACUGGCUGCGCCUUCAUGUGGCGAAGGGGUAAAAGUUCGGAGAGAAACCUCAGCACACCAGCGCUUCAGAAUCCCCCUCCUCCCCUGGAGACGGAGUUCAUUUGUGGCUGCCCUUUGUGGUGAGGGGGCUUCACUUCGGGUUUCACCAAAAGUGGAGGGGAAUUCAUGAACACUCUGUGCUGCAAAACACACUAAGGAUCUGGCCUGGGUGAGGUUCCAUUCGAGGUCUGUGAAUUCUAAGGCUCAGCACGAAUUAAGAGGUAUGACAGCUUGUUACCAUAUAUGCAGCUUGGCAGUGUGGAAUUAUGCCCCAACAAAGAUGUUGCCAUUAACUAAACGGCAAACGGAGAACAGUGAGGUACAGUAUCGUGAUCACAACCCUUGCAUUUACUUUCAUGUCUGCUUUUUGGUAGCCAAGUUGGAUUCAAUUAGGUCUUGGCACUUCAUAUGAGGUUUUGGCACUAAAAGUCCAAGCCCCAGGAAACUCUCGGGCCAUCUCAGCCAAAGUCUUGAGUUAUGCUUGUUAUAUCUGUGCUAUUACUUUCCCAGGCUCUCAAUCACAAAACACUUACACUGGCUCUUAGAACAGUUAGGCGAUACAUAUUUGAGGUCAAAUUAAAAAUUAAUAAAUGGAACCACUAGGGCAAGUGCCGAUCGAGGGUUUUAUCAGGUCAUAACUGUAUAAUACCGGCUUCAGCAUAAUGAAUUCCAGUCACUGAAGCUCUAUAUUCUUCUUAGAAAAAAAAUGCUGGCCUAGAUUCUUUAUGUGGCGGAGAUGGGAAAUGACCCGUUGAAUUUAACACCACCGACACUGAAAGGAAGUGUCCUGACGGUGACUCCUCCCUAGUGCUGCAUACUGCCCAAACUAUGAUCAAGAUCAGGAAAGGGAGUCACCUGCAAGCUGCCUUAAAUACAGAACCUCCCCUACUUGCAUUCAUUCCUUCCAUCUCCACUUCAACCUCUUCCUGUAUUGUUUCACUUGAAGACUCACUUGCUCCCUUGUUCUCUCCCCCUCCAUGCCCUACUGUCAUUUUGAUGUUUUCACCCACUCCCACCAUUCAUCUUCUAAUGUGGUUAGCAUGAUACGUCUAAAACAAUAAAGAAUGCAGGUUA